AAAUAUAAGUCUUUUUAGUCUCAGCUAUGUCCAUUAGGCCAAAGAGUAUAAAGGCUCUAUGAAGAGUUUAUGCUUUGCUUGCACAUUCCUCUGUAUGUAUGUGUGUAAGUUCAAACAUCUGGAGAGUUUCUCCCUCUCCCCUUUCUGUUCUUCUUUCUUUUGUUACAUAUAGAAAGUCUUCUAGGAUCCCUAGGUUCUGAGGGUAUUUUCAACGGAUAUUGACCAUAUUCGGAGUUAUUAUAUAAAUGUUAUACAACGUAUAUAUGAUAUGGCAUGAGGUCAUAUAUAAUUCUAUUGGAUAAGACCAGAUAACUCCCCUUGAUAUUUUCAUAUAUAUUUGCAUGUCACAUAUGGGGAGGCUGAGCUAUCUUUUCUGGCUCCCCCAGCGCUGGUGAUUUUGAUUCUGUAUGGUCUGUUCACAACUCAAUAAAAGGACGUGGAGGAAAAGGCACUUGUUGGAAGUCUUUCAUUUCUAACAAUUUGGGGGCUCGGUCCUGGGAUUUCUCCAAGCGAAAAGCCAACUCAUCCCUUUGUUCCAGGACAGUCGGUGUUGGUGAAGUGUCUAAAACCCACGAAGCUUGGGGAAGCGAAUUAUCUUGGGCCUGCCACUGUGAUCGCUGUGACAAGGACCGGUGUUCUGACUGACCUCCAGCCGCAGUGGAUCCAUGCUAGCAGAGUGAAGGCAGCCCCGUCCCCAGGGAGCGCAUAAGCCUAUGCGGAGGUGGAUAUCCAGCACUUAUCGAAAGGAGAACGAGGAAGAGAAGUAGACGAAAAAAGAAAAAAAAGAAAAACGAGAUUGCUGAUUGAAGUUAGCAAUAAGUAUCAUUGAGUCCAUCAAGUCAUGUUUGCACAGUCGCUUUUAUACCUGAUUGUGCUAAAAAAUCUGCUAAUUUACACACAAGCGCUUAUAAGCAGUGGUAAUGAAACUUGGUUGGAUGCUGUAUUAUCCGAUUUAUUAGGAUGUUGAUUUAUCGUGCUAUGAAUACUUUCGUAUCCUCUCAAUAUUCUCUAGCGAAUAGAACUAUCAAGUAUUAAUGAUUUGAAGGAAAUGUUUGAUUGAAGGUUUUUUUCGUGUAUUAUUCUGUAAUAAUGGACAUGCUGAUCAUGUGAUAUGAUAAUUCUGUUAUAUGAUAACUGUCAUUAUCAAAGGGGCCAUUGUCAGAAAUAUAAGUCUUUUUAGUCUCAGCUAUGUCCAUUAGGCCAAAGAGUAUAAAGGCUCUAUGAAGAGUUUAUGCUUUGCUUGCACAUUCCUCUGUAUGUAUGUGUGUAAGUUCAAACAUCUGGAGAGUUUCUCCCUCUCCCCUUUCUGUUCUUCUUUCUUUUGUUACAUAUAGAAAGUCUUCUAGGAUCCCUAGGUUCUGAGGGUAUUUUCAACGGAUAUUGACCAUAUUCGGAGUUAUUAUAUAAAUGUUAUACAACGUAUAUAUGAUAUGGCAUGAGGUCAUAUAUAAUUCUAUUGGAUAAGACCAGAUAACUCCCCUUGAUAUUUUCAUAUAUAUUUGCAUGUCACAUAUGGGGAGGCUGAGCUAUCUUUUCUGGCUCCCCCAGCGCUGGUGAUUUUGAUUCUGUAUGGUCUGUUCACAACUCAAUAAAAGGACGUGGAGGAAAAGGCA
Pimephales promelas (fathead minnow) is the source of this 1613-nucleotide non-coding RNA. NCBI's taxonomy places the organism in Eukaryota, Metazoa, Chordata, Actinopteri, Cypriniformes, Leuciscidae. The record is from RefSeq and is a predicted model, not a curated record.